Molecule: ribosomal RNA, 1369 nt
Filed under: uncultured bacterium
Lineage: Bacteria
Description: bacterial SSU rRNA
Rfam family: Bacterial small subunit ribosomal RNA
Source: RNAcentral
GACGAACGCUGGCGGCGUGCCUAAUACAUGCAAGUAGAACGCUGAAGAGAGGAGCUUGCUCUUCUUGGAUGAGUUGCGAACGGGUGAGUAACGCGUAGGUAACCUGCCUUGUAGCGGGGGAUAACUAUUGGAAACGAUAGCUAAUACCGCAUAACAAUGGAUGACACAUGUCAUUUAUUUGAAAGGGGCAAUUGCUCCACUACAAGAUGGACCUGCGUUGUAUUAGCUAGUAGGUGAGGUAACGGCUCACCUAGGCGACGAUACAUAGCCGACCUGAGAGGGUGAUCGGCCACACUGGGACUGAGACACGGCCCAGACUCCUACGGGAGGCAGCAGUAGGGAAUCUUCGGCAAUGGGGGCAACCCUGACCGAGCAACGCCGCGUGAGUGAAGAAGGUUUUCGGAUCGUAAAGCUCUGUUGUAAGUCAAGAACGAGUGUGAGAGUGGAAAGUUCACACUGUGACGGUAGCUUACCAGAAAGGGACGGCUAACUACGUGCCAGCAGCCGCGGUAAUACGUAGGUCCCGAGCGUUGUCCGGAUUUAUUGGGCGUAAAGCGAGCGCAGGCGGUUUGAUAAGUCUGAAGUUAAAGGCUGUGGCUCAACCAUAGUUCGCUUUGGAAACUGUCAAACUUGAGUGCAGAAGGGGAGAGUGGAAUUCCAUGUGUAGCGGUGAAAUGCGUAGAUAUAUGGAGGAACACCGGUGGCGAAAGCGGCUCUCUGGUCUGUAACUGACGCUGAGGCUCGAAAGCGUGGGGAGCGAACAGGAUUAGAUACCCUGGUAGUCCACGCCGUAAACGAUGAGUGCUAGGUGUUGGAUCCUUUCCGGGAUUCAGUGCCGCAGCUAACGCAUUAAGCACUCCGCCUGGGGAGUACGACCGCAAGGUUGAAACUCAAAGGAAUUGACGGGGGCCCGCACAAGCGGUGGAGCAUGUGGUUUAAUUCGAAGCAACGCGAAGAACCUUACCAGGUCUUGACAUCCCGAUGCUAUUUCUAGAGAUAGAAAGUUACUUCGGUACAUCGGUAACAGGUGGUGCAUGGUUGUCGUCAGCUCGUGUCGUGAGAUGUUGGGUUAAGUCCCGCAACGAGCGCAACCCCUAUUGUUAGUUGCCAUCAUUCAGUUGGGCACUCUAGCGAGACUGCCGGUAAUAAACCGGAGGAAGGUGGGGAUGACGUCAAAUCAUCAUGCCCCUUAUGACCUGGGCUACACACGUGCUACAAUGGUUGGUACAACGAGUUGCGAGUCGGUGACGGCAAGCUAAUCUCUUAAAGCCAAUCUCAGUUCGGAUUGUAGGCUGCAACUCGCCUACAUGAAGUCGGAAUCGCUAGUAAUCGCGGAUCAGCACGCCGCGGUGAAUACGUUCCCGGGCCU